CUGCUGUUCACUUUACAAGAAACUGCGCUCUACCUCUCCGACAUUACCACCUGCAAAGAUGAGGCUGUUGCUGGUGAUGCUGCUUGUUGUCGCUGUAGUCGCUGUACACACUGAAGCCGCUCAUCAUGCUCAUGGCGCACAUGCCAUAAAACUCACGUCAACUUCUUGCAACGGUCCUAACGAGAUUUGCCCUACACAUUUUUCAUGCUGCCCAGGUUUGAGGUGUAUUUAUCUACCUAUGAUGGGAAUGCGCCUCCGUAAGUGUGUCACACCUAAACCACUUGCUUGAGCAAGCGGUGUUGCACUUUAACCUUUUGGAAAAUUGUGUGUGAAAAGACGAACACCAUUAAAGCAAGGAGAUUGGCAAUUCAAA
RNAcentral lists this long non-coding RNA (373 nucleotides) under Pomacea canaliculata. Its description in RNAcentral is "uncharacterized LOC112568010, transcript variant X1". The record is from RNAcentral. Lineage: Eukaryota; Metazoa; Mollusca; Gastropoda; Architaenioglossa; Ampullariidae.